Panthera uncia (snow leopard) is the source of this 683-nucleotide long non-coding RNA. RefSeq lists it as uncharacterized. NCBI's taxonomy places the organism in Eukaryota, Metazoa, Chordata, Mammalia, Carnivora, Felidae. The transcript is spliced from 2 exons. The record is from RefSeq and is a predicted model, not a curated record.
AGGCGAGAGGCUCCUGGACGACGUCGAUGUUCACAUGCCCAAGGUUGCCGUACUUGGAGAGCUGAGUGGGAGGGAUGCCUGAGCCAAAAGGUCUGUGCUAUCUGAGCUGGUGGAAAAAGGACUUGGAGACAGCGAUUUAAAUAUGGAACAAGGUCUUCCACGAACACGGUGCAGAACUGGACGAAGAGCUCUUGCUCCCCACUGCUGAAAGCAGCCUCUUCUGCACGAUGGAAGGCCAGGAUUAUAUUAGUUACCUAGGGGACAAGGCAUAAAGAAAGUCUUUCCAAACAGUACAUUACUGUCUUGUUUAAAUUCAGAAUUGUGGUCACUCUCCACAAUUCUGUCACUUCGUUGAUAUAUUUCUGACUCAACAUGUUUCAUUACUGGCACAGGUUCCAGUUCCAGUGGAAGAGCAUCAAGAGGUUCUUGACUCCUUCAGGAGAUGGACCAGAACUAUAUCGGAUUCAGAAAAAUGAAGCAAAACUAUAAAAGGUUUUUACUGAGUAAGACCUUUGAGGUUCCAGGAAGCUAGACCACUAGAAAAUUGGAAAGGAAGACAGACUUGGAAAAGAAGUUCCACACACAAAUAACAGAGCUACACUUUCUUGUUCAAGUCCUAGCUGUGCCGCUUGCUGGUUUUGUGGCUUCCAAGUGAUUAAACACUUCAUGCCCUCUGCUCCUCA